Molecule: ribosomal RNA, 724 nt
Filed under: Bacillus subtilis
Lineage: Bacteria; Bacillati; Bacillota; Bacilli; Caryophanales; Bacillaceae
Description: bacterial SSU rRNA
Rfam family: Bacterial small subunit ribosomal RNA
Source: RNAcentral
GGCGGCGUGCCUAAUACAUGCAAGUCGAGCGGACAGAUGGGAGCUUGCUCCCUGAUGUUAGCGGCGGACGGGUGAGUAACACGUGGGUAACCUGCCUGUAAGACUGGGAUAACUCCGGGAAACCGGGGCUAAUACCGGAUGCUUGUUUGAACCGCAUGGUUCAAACAUAAAAGGUGGCUUCGGCUACCACUUACAGAUGGACCCGCGGCGCAUUAGCUAGUUGGUGAGGUAACGGCUCACCAAGGCAACGAUGCGUAGCCGACCUGAGAGGGUGAUCGGCCACACUGGGACUGAGACACGGCCCAGACUCCUACGGGAGGCAGCAGUAGGGAAUCUUCCGCAAUGGACGAAAGUCUGACGGAGCAACGCCGCGUGAGUGAUGAAGGUUUUCGGAUCGUAAAGCUCUGUUGUUAGGGAAGAACAAGUACCGUUCGAAUAGGGCGGUACCUUGACGGUACCUAACCAGAAAGCCACGGCUAACUACGUGCCAGCAGCCGCGGUAAUACGUAGGUGGCAAGCGUUGUCCGGAAUUAUUGGGCGUAAAGGGCUCGCAGGCGGUUUCUUAAGUCUGAUGUGAAAGCCCCCGGCUCAACCGGGGAGGGUCAUUGGAAACUGGGGAACUUGAGUGCAGAAGAGGAGAGUGGAAUUCCACGUGUAGCGGUGAAAUGCGUAGAGAUGUGGAGGAACACCAGUGGCGAAGGCGACUCUCUGGUCUGUAACUGAC